UUCUUUAAGAGAUAAUUUAAAGUAAAACCUGCUCAAUGAAUUAUUAAAUGGCCGCAGUAUUACUGUGCUAAGGUAGCAUAAUCACUUGCUUUUUAAAUGAAAGAUCGUAUGAAAGGAUUAACGAUUAAUUACUUUUUUUCUAAAUAUACAUAAUUUAACAUUAAUGUAAAAAGACAUUAAUUAAUUAGUAAGACGAUAAGACCCUACUAAACUUAGCAUUUUGUUGGGGUGACAAAAGAACAAAAUCUUAUUUUAAACAACAAAAUACCUUUUUCUAAAAUAUAAAUAGUUACUAUAGGGAUAACAGCGCAAUAUCUUUUUAGAGUUCUUAUCAAAAAAGAAGUUUACGACCUCGAUGUUGAAUUAAUUUACCAUAUUCAAGCAAAAUUUAUUAUAGGUAGUCUGUUCGACUAUUAAAAAAUU
RNAcentral lists this ribosomal RNA (423 nucleotides) under Buitinga sp. DNA100446448. Its description in RNAcentral is "partial 16S ribosomal RNA". It matches the Rfam family "Bacterial large subunit ribosomal RNA", at positions 1829 to 2597 of the family's 2925-position model. Lineage: Eukaryota; Metazoa; Arthropoda; Arachnida; Araneae; Pholcidae. The record is from RNAcentral.